RNAcentral lists this transfer RNA (72 nucleotides) under Ictidomys tridecemlineatus (thirteen-lined ground squirrel). Its description in RNAcentral is "Spermophilus tridecemlineatus (thirteen-lined ground squirrel) tRNA". It matches the Rfam family "tRNA". Rfam says of the family: Transfer RNA (tRNA) molecules are approximately 80 nucleotides in length. Their secondary structure includes four short double-helical elements and three loops (D, anti-codon, and T loops). The record is from Rfam by way of RNAcentral. Lineage: Eukaryota; Metazoa; Chordata; Mammalia; Rodentia; Sciuridae.
GGGGUUGUAGCUCAGUGGUAGAGCUCUUGCAUCAUAUGCGUGAGGCCCUGGGUUCGAUCCUCAUCAGCACCA